RNAcentral lists this ribosomal RNA (497 nucleotides) under uncultured bacterium. RNAcentral describes it as "partial 16S ribosomal RNA". It matches the Rfam family "Bacterial small subunit ribosomal RNA", at positions 28 to 507 of the family's 1533-position model. The record is from RNAcentral.
GAUGAACGCUGGCGGCGUGCCUAAUACAUGCAAGUCGAGCGAACAGACCACGAUCGUGCUCUUCUGACGUUAGCAACGGACGGGUAAGUAACACGUAGCUAACCUACCUAUAAGGCUUGGAUAACUGCAGGUAACCGUAGCUAAUACCGGGUAAUAUAUCUAACCGCAUGGGUCAGGAAUGAAAGAGGGGUUGGCGGUCGAUUAUAGAUGGAUCCGCGCCGCAUUAGCUAGUUGGUAAGGUAACGGCUUACCAAGGCAACGAUGCGUAGCCGAGCUGAGAGAGUGAUAGGCCACCCUGGAACGGGAACACGGUCAAGGCUCCUACGGGAGGGACCAGUAGGCAAUCGUACGCAAUGGGGGGAAGCAUGGCGGAGCAACGCGGCGUGAGUGACGAAGGCCUUCGGUUCGUAAAGCUCUGUUAUUAGGGAAGAACAGAUGUGUAAGAAAAUAUGCACGUCUUGAAGGUAAGUAAGCAGAGAGGCACGGCUAAAUUAGGU